Molecule: ribosomal RNA, 497 nt
Filed under: uncultured bacterium
Lineage: Bacteria
Description: partial 16S ribosomal RNA
Rfam family: Bacterial small subunit ribosomal RNA
Source: RNAcentral
GAUGAACGCUGGCGGCGUGCCUAAUACAUGCAAGUCGAGCGAACAGACGAGGAGCUUGCUCCUCUGACGUUAGCGGCGGACGGGUGAGUAACACGUGGAUAACCUACCUAUAAGACUGGGAUAACUUCGGGAAACCGGAGCUAAUACCGGAUAAUAUAUUGAACCGCAUGGUUCAAUAGUGAAAGACGGUUUUGCUGUCACUUAUAGAUGGAUCCGCGCCGCAUUAGCUAGUUGGUAAGGUAACGGCUUACCAAGGCGACGAUGCGUAGCCGACCUGAGAGGGUGAUCGGCCACACUGGAACUGAGACACGGUCCAGACUCCUACGGGAGGCAGCAGUAGGGAAUCUUCCGCAAUGGGCGAAAGCCUGACGGAGCAACGCCGCGUGAGUGAUGAAGGUCUUCGGAUCGUAAAACUCUGUUAUUAGGGAAGAACAAAUGUGUAAGUAACUAUGCAGGUCUUGACGGUACCUAAUCAGAAAGCCACGGCUAACUACGUG